CAUUUUCAAUGUGUCAAAUUAAGAAUUCUAAAUGAUGACAAAGGUUAUUGUGUAUUAAUUUUCUGUUUACAAAACUUUGAAUUUUUCGAAAAAUUAGGAUUUUCUUAUCCCAGGCAUAGAUUACCUUAGCCGUAUUUGGCACACCUUUUUUGGAAUUUUGAAUCCUCAAUGCUCUUCAACUUUUACUUUUUGGCUUUAUAAAUAUUUUGAUAUGAGCGUCACUGAUGAGUCUUAUGUAGACGAAACGCGCGUCUGGCAUACUAAAUUAUAAUCCUGGUACCUUUGAUUAUACAACUAUUUGUGACACAGAACGACAACAUGCACUCUGCAAAUCUAAAAACAAAUAUGCAACGAUUGUAUUGAUGUUCUUCGUUUUGGUACGAUUUCAAGGACACCGUUAAUAUAUCAAGUUGUGCCUUUAAAAGUAUUGAUGCUGGUAUACUUUUGAAGAGACAAGCAUAAGUUUUAAUGAUAAGAAAUAUAAACAUAAAAAAGCUAUAUACAACGUGCAAACAAUAAAUAAUUUCCGUCAUAAUUCGUAUUUAGCCGACAAGGUCAUUUUAGCC
RNAcentral lists this long non-coding RNA (566 nucleotides) under Mytilus galloprovincialis (Mediterranean mussel). Lineage: Eukaryota; Metazoa; Mollusca; Bivalvia; Mytilida; Mytilidae. The record is from RNAcentral.